GAUGAAGAACGCAGCGAAAUGCGAUAAGUAAUGUGAAUUGCAGAAUUCAGUGAAUCAUCGAAUCUUUGAACGCACAUUGCGCCCGCCAGUAUUCUGGCGGGCAUGCCUGUUCGAGCGUCAUUACAACCCUCAGGCCCCCGGGCCUGGCGUUGGGGAUCGGCGGAAGCCCCCUGUGGGCACACGCCGUCCCUCAAAUACAGUGGCGGUCCCGCCGCAGCUUCCAUUGCGUAGUAGCUAACACCUCGCAACUGGAGAGCGGCGCGGCCAUGCCGUAAAACACCCCACUUCUGAAUGUUGACCUCGAAUCAGGUAGGAAUACCCGCUGAACUUAAGCAUAUCAAUAAGCGGAGGA
Molecule: unclassified non-coding RNA, 352 nt
Filed under: soil metagenome
Description: partial contains 5.8S ribosomal RNA, internal transcribed spacer 2, and large subunit ribosomal RNA
Rfam family: 5.8S ribosomal RNA (bases 1-120)
Source: RNAcentral